CCCUGGAGGGCAGCCAGAAGAGAAUGGAAUCAGCCAGGAAUGGAGAGAGCAGAAAUCGCUGUAAAUCCUGACAAUCUCUCUUGAU
This 85-nucleotide long non-coding RNA is filed under the name Chrysemys picta bellii (western painted turtle). Its description in RNAcentral is "lncRNA (ENSCPBG00000005683.1)". Lineage: Eukaryota; Metazoa; Chordata; Testudines; Emydidae. The record is from RNAcentral.